This is a long non-coding RNA of Numida meleagris (helmeted guineafowl), 902 nucleotides long. RefSeq lists it as uncharacterized. The transcript is spliced from 2 exons. The record is from RefSeq and is a predicted model, not a curated record. Lineage: Eukaryota; Metazoa; Chordata; Aves; Galliformes; Numididae.
CAGCGCCGUCCCCAGCCUCCGCUCAGUGAAAGGGCAGUCCCAGGCCCCUCGUUGUUUUUGGGGUCGCGCUGGUGGUGACACGGCGAGCGCAGGGCCAGAGCUCACGGCUCCUCCUCCCUUACAGGCCUCGACGAGGGAAGCGGCGGCUCGACCACAGGGAGCGAACGUUCCACCUGAGCGCUGUGCUUGCUUCAGCCGGCCCCGCGUGCCGGUGGGGUUUGUGGACGGGCGUAGCUCCGCUUUCUCAGCCUCUGGAAUCUCCUCGGGCUUCCGCUCAGCAAGGGGUUGGAACGGGAUGAUCGUGGAGGUCCUGGUCAGGCCAGGCUGUUCCGUGAUUCCAUGAUUCUAGGAUUCCAGGAUUCUGUGAGUCCAUGAUUCUAAGAUUUUAUGAUUCCGUGAAUCCAUGAUUUGAUGAUUCUGUGAAUCCAUGAUUUUAUAAUUCUGUGAUUCCAUGAUUAAAUGAUACCAUGAUUCUGUGAUUCCAUGAUUUGAUGAUUCCGUGAUAACAUGAUUGUAUGAGUCCGUGAUUUUAUGAUCCCAUGACUCUGUGAUUCCAUGACUCCGUGUGUCUAGGAUCUCCAUGUCUGUGUGCGCAAUCCCCCGUCUCGCCACUAGGGGGCGUGCAUGCGUUAUUGCAUUAAGGUCUGAAGCGCCGCGCUCCUCCCAGCGCCGAAUUCGGGGCGCUCCGAGUGGCGCCCCCCGGCGGUCACUGCGGGAGGAGCAGCGGGACUGCAGGACCGGGCCGUGGUUUGUGCAUUGGAGAUCGGGAAACGGGAACCGAGCUGAAGAAGCAGAGCGCAGCGUGUGUUGCAGCUUGCCCAGGGAAACAGCUCGUUUGGAACAGUAGACAUACCGUGUGUUUCAGCAGUGUGUUUUAAAAAUAGAGUUGUUGGAUGACGUGA